RNAcentral lists this ribosomal RNA (253 nucleotides) under uncultured bacterium. Its description in RNAcentral is "partial 16S ribosomal RNA". It matches the Rfam family "Bacterial small subunit ribosomal RNA", at positions 524 to 776 of the family's 1533-position model. The record is from RNAcentral. RNAcentral also lists the same sequence under 1 other name.
GACGAACCGUGCGAACGUUGUUCGGAAUCACUGGGCUUAAAGGGCGCGUAGGCGGGCGAUCAAGUCAGGGGUGAAAUCCUCCAGCUCAACUGGAGAACUGCCUUUGAUACUGGUCAUCUCGAGUGAGGUAGGGGCAUGCGGAACUGAUGGUGGAGCGGUGAAAUGUGUUGAUAUCAUCAGGAACUCCGGUGGCGAAAGCGGCGUGCUGGACCUCUACUGACGCUGAGGCGCGAAAGCUAGGGGAGCGAACGGG